This is a non-coding RNA of Heterocephalus glaber (naked mole-rat), 320 nucleotides long. The record is from Rfam. Lineage: Eukaryota; Metazoa; Chordata; Mammalia; Rodentia; Bathyergidae.
ACAUAUGAGUGUGAUCUGGUUGCGACAUCUGCCACCCCAUUGAUUGCCAAGGUUGAUCUGCUGCUCUGGCUGGCUAGGCGUGGUCCUCGUCCUCCCUCACUGCUCCAUGUGUGUCCCUCCUAAAGUGAGGUGCUUAGCUGAAGAGGACAACCACCUCUGGUAGAGGAAGACCAUUUCCUUGGUCAAGGGUAUCCCAGAACCUGCAUUCCCCUAGUAGCUAGAACCUCCAAACAAGCUCUCAAAUAUCAAUGUCUCUAUGGAGGUAUAAGUAGAGCAUUGCAUUCAAUAUGUAAUAAAAACAUAGUAUGAGACAAUAUACU